This 745-nucleotide ribosomal RNA is filed under the name uncultured bacterium. Its description in RNAcentral is "bacterial SSU rRNA". It matches the Rfam family "Bacterial small subunit ribosomal RNA", at positions 33 to 773 of the family's 1533-position model. The record is from RNAcentral.
ACGCUGGCGGCAGGCCUAACACAUGCAAGUCGAGCGGUAGAGAGAAGCUUGCUUCUCUUGAGAGCGGCGGACGGGUGAGUAAUGCCUAGGAAUCUGCCUGGUAGUGGGGGAUAACGUUCGGAAACGGACGCUAAUACCGCAUACGUCCUACGGGAGAAAGCAGGGGACCUUCGGGCCUUGCGCUAUCAGAUGAGCCUAGGUCGGAUUAGCUAGUUGGUGGGGUAAUGGCUCACCAAGGCGACGAUCCGUAACUGGUCUGAGAGGAUGAUCAGUCACACUGGAACUGAGACACGGUCCAGACUCCUACGGGAGGCAGCAGUGGGGAAUAUUGGACAAUGGGCGAAAGCCUGAUCCAGCCAUGCCGCGUGUGUGAAGAAGGUCUUCGGAUUGUAAAGCACUUUAAGUUGGGAGGAAGGGCAGUAAAUUGAUACUUUGCUGUUUUGACGUUACCGACAGAAUAAGCACCGGCUAACUCUGUGCCAGCAGCCGCGGUAAUACAGAGGGUGCAAGCGUUAAUCGGAAUUACUGGGCGUAAAGCGCGCGUAGGUGGUUCGUUAAGUUGGAUGUGAAAUCCCCGGGCUCAACCUGGGAACUGCAUUCAAAACUGACGAGCUAGAGUAUGGUAGAGGGUGGUGGAAUUUCCUGUGUAGCGGUGAAAUGCGUAGAUAUAGGAAGGAACACCAGUGGCGAAGGCGACCACCUGGACUGGUACUGACACUGAGGUGCGAAAGCGUGGGGAGCAAAC